UUACCGAGUGAGGGCCCUCUGGGUCCAACCUCCCACCCGUGUUUAUUUUACCUUGUUGCUUCGGCGGGCCCGCCUUAACUGGCCGCCGGGGGGCUCACGCCCCCGGGCCCGCGCCCGCCGAAGACACCCUCGAACUCUGUCUGAAGAUUGAAGUCUGAGUGAAAAUAUAAAUUAUUUAAAACUUUCAACAACGGAUCUCUUGGUUCCGGCAUCGAUGAAGAACGCAGCGAAAUGCGAUACGUAAUGUGAAUUGCAAAUUCAGUGAAUCAUCGAGUCUUUGAACGCACAUUGCGCCCCCUGGUAUUCCGGGGGGCAUGCCUGUCCGAGCGUCAUUGCUGCCCUCAAGCCCGGCUUGUGUGUUGGGCCCCGUCCUCCGAUCUCCGGGGGACGGGCCCGAAAGGCAGCGGCGGCACCGCGUCCGGUCCUCGAGCGUAUGGGGCUUUGUCACCCGCUCUGUAGGCCCGGCCGGCGCUUGCCGAUCAACCCAAAUUUUUAUCCAGGUUGACCUCGGAUCAGGUAGGGAUACCCGCUGAACUUAAGCAUAUCAAUAAGCGGAGGAAAAGAAACCAACAGGGAUUGCCCCAGUAACGGCGAGUGAAGCGGCAAGAGCUCAAAUUUGAAAGCUGGCUCCUUCGGGGUCCGCAUUGUAAUUUGCAGAGGAUGCUUCGGGAGCGGUCCCCAUCUAAGUGCCCUGGAACGGGACGUCAUAGAGGGUGAGAAUCCCGUAUGGGAUGGGGUGUCCGCGCCCGUGUGAAGCUCCUUCGACGAGUC
Molecule: ribosomal RNA, 771 nt
Filed under: fungal endophyte
Lineage: Eukaryota; Fungi
Description: eukaryotic LSU rRNA
Rfam family: Eukaryotic large subunit ribosomal RNA (bases 503-771)
Source: RNAcentral